This 396-nucleotide ribosomal RNA is filed under the name uncultured bacterium. RNAcentral describes it as "partial 16S ribosomal RNA". It matches the Rfam family "Bacterial small subunit ribosomal RNA", at positions 523 to 918 of the family's 1533-position model. The record is from RNAcentral.
AUACGUAGGGAGCGAGCGUUGUCCGGAAUUACUGGGUGUAAAGGGAGCGUAGGCGGGAGUGCAAGUCAGAUGUGAAAUACAUGGGCUCAACCCAUGGGCUGCAUUUGAAACUGCAUUUCUUGAGUGAAGUAGAGGUAAGCGGAAUUCCUGGUGUAGCGGUGAAAUGCGUAGAUAUCAGGAGGAACACCGGUGGCGAAGGCGGCUUACUGGGCUUUUACUGACGCUGAGGAUCGAAAGCGUGGGGAGCAAACAGGAUUAGAUACCCUGGUAGUCCACGUUGUAAACGAUGAUUACUAGGUGUGGGGGGACUGACCCCUUCCGUGCCGCAGUUAACACAAUAAGUAUUCCACCUGGGGAGUACGGCCGCAAGGUUGAAACUUAAAGGAAUUGACGGGG